This is an RNA transcript of Chelonia mydas (Green sea turtle), 3874 nucleotides long. It is a transcript of the gene named VAC14 component of PIKFYVE complex, with no coding region annotated. The transcript is spliced from 18 exons. Lineage: Eukaryota; Metazoa; Chordata; Testudines; Cheloniidae. The record is from RefSeq and is a predicted model, not a curated record.
CGGAACCGCGCGGAGUCACGUGCCCGAGCUAAGGUGGCUGCCGCCGUGUAGCGCCGCGCCCGCGACCCGCCGCCCGGCCCGCACGGGCUCCUGGGGCUCCUCCCGCUCCCGGCCGCGCCUGUCGGGCCCUGAGAGCCCCGUCCCCGGCGUGGAGCGGCGGCCGCCGGGCCGGGGCUGAGCCCGCUGGCGGCGGCGGCGGCAGCAUGAACCCGGAGAAGGAUUUCUCGCCCCUGGCGCCCAGCGUGGUGCGGGCCCUGAACGACAAGCUCUACGAGAAGCGGAAGGUGGCGGCGCUGGAGAUCGAGAAGUUGGUGCGAGAAUUUGUGGCUCAGAACAACGCAGCGCAGAUCAAGCAUGUCAUCCAGAUCCUGUCGCAAGAGUUCGCGCUCUCACAGCACCCUCACAGCAGGAAAGGGGGGCUCAUCGGCCUGGCAGCCUGCUCCAUUGCUCUCGGGAAGAAAUCAAAUGGCUUAAAGAUGAGUGGAUUGAAACCUUCUGCCGAACAAUUGCAAGAAGACCUGGCAGGAGACUUGGCAGUCACUGUUGGCUUCAGUAGGACUAUUGUCCCUGGUUCCUGGCUUAAACAGGAGGAUUCUGGGCUGUACCUGAAAGAGCUGAUUGAGCCGGUGCUGACUUGCUUCAACGAUGCUGACAGCCGACUGCGGUACUAUGCUUGCGAGGCCCUGUAUAACAUCGUCAAGGUGGCCAGGGGCUCUGUCCUCCCACACUUCAACGUGCUGUUUGAUGGCCUCAGUAAGCUUGCCGCUGAUCCAGACCCAAAUGUGAAAAGCGGCUCUGAACUACUGGAUCGACUUCUCAAGGACAUCGUGACUGAGAGUAACAAGUUUGACCUCGUGGGUUUCAUCCCGCUGCUGCGGGAGAGGAUUUAUUCCAACAACCAGUACGCCCGGCAGUUCAUCAUAUCCUGGAUCCUGGUGCUUGAGUCGGUGCCUGACAUUAAUCUCCUGGGUUACCUGCCGGAGAUCCUGGAUGGACUCUUCCAGAUCCUGGGAGAUAACAGCAAAGAGAUCCGGAAGAUGUGUGAGGUGGCCCUCGGGGAGUUCCUUAAAGAGAUCAAGAAGAAUCCUUCCAGCGUCAAAUUUGCAGAAAUGGCCAAUAUUCUAGUGAUUCACUGUCAGGCUUCUGAUGAUCUGAUUCAGCUGACAGCCAUGUGCUGGAUGAGGGAAUUCAUCCAGCUGGCUGGUCGGGUGAUGCUGCCCUACUCCUCAGGGAUCCUGACCGCUGUUCUGCCAUGCCUAUCCUAUGAUGACCGGAAGAAGAGCAUCAAAGAGGUAGCUAAUGUGUGUAACCAGAGCCUGAUGAAGCUGGUCAUCCCAGAAGAUGACGAAACGGAUGAGGGCAAGCAAUCCCUGAGCCUCCAGAUGGAACCCAAGGAGGAAUCCCUCUCCCAGCAGCAGGUGACCUCCAGCGGCUGCCUGGAAGCCUCCAGCAAUUCCAGCCUCAGCAGCGCCAGUGUCUUCAAUGCAAGCAGCACUGACCAGGUCCCGGUGACCCUCAACCUCGACGGGAUAGUGCAGGUAUUGGACUGCCACCUUCACGACACAGCCACCGGGAUGAUGACCAGAAUUGCAGUCCUAAAAUGGCUCUAUCACUUGUACAUCAAGACUCCACGGAAGAUGUUCCGGCAUACAGACAGCCUCUUUCCCAUUUUGCUGCGGACCUUGUCGGAUGAGUCAGACGAGGUUAUCCUGAAGGACCUAGAAGUUUUGGCUGAGAUCGCCUCCUCUCCUGCAGGUCAAACGGAAGAUCAGGGGCCAUGUGAUGGCUCUGAUAUGCGAUUCAGCCAAUCGGAGUUACACAUUCCCGUCAAAGCCAGCCAGCUGAGCUCCUCUGGUAUGAAAGGCAUGGAGUGCUCCCCCUCAACCCCCACCAUGAACUCCUACUUCUACAAAUUCAUGAUUAACCUACUCAAGAGAUUCAGCAGUGAGCGGAAGCUGCUGGAGACCAGAGGAGCAUUCAUCAUCAGGCAGCUUUGUCUGCUUCUCAAUGCAGAAAACAUCUUCCACUCCAUGGCAGACAUCCUGCUGCGGGAAGAGGACCUCAAGUUUGCCUCGACUAUGGUCCACACUCUCAACACAAUAUUGCUGACUUCCUCCGAGCUCUUCCAGCUGAGAAACCAGCUGAAGGACCUGAAGACCCCGGAGAGUCGUAACCUGUUCUGCUGUCUCUACCGCUCCUGGUGCCACAACCCUGUGACGACCGUGUCCCUCUGCUUCCUCACCCAGAACUACAAACAUGCUUACGACCUCAUCCAGAAGUUGUAUCCUUUUCAGAGCUGCCGGGGGUCUCUGAGGGAGUGGGCAGGGGAAGAGCAGGAGGGCAGCAGUGGUAACGUUACGUAGCCUAAACAGGGCAGCAGACCUGCCAAGCUGACUCUCCCUGGCUCACAAGGUCAGAGCUGAGGAGCCAGCCUUGCCUCUGUUUUCAUAACAAACAGUGGUAGAGUUAAACAGCUGAUUAAGGAUGGUCCCUAACCAGGCCAUUUCUAUCCCCUGGGCCAGGAGGGAAUCUCGGUAUAUUGUAUGCUUCAUUGUGUAAGGGAACUGCCUCAAGGGCCUGAGUUCAUUGCCUGCACCCACUCUUGCAAGAAGCCCAAAUAAUUCUGAAAAAGUCUGAAACUCUCCCCUCUGGUGUGGUACCCGCCACUGGGGCUUUUCAGACAAAUAAAGGGGCAUCUGCAAGUUGAGAGAGCGGCCAGUGCAAUGAAUUGGUUCAAAAUUGCUCUGUGCUCAUGACUAGGACAGCAGAUAAUUUUCUCCUUAGUCUUCCUGCUGUUGCCUGCUUGUGAAACCAGUUCUCUGUUCAACAGAGCACAGAGAAAGCAGUGAACCAACACCCCAGACCCUCCCCUUUGGAGAGGAAGAUGGGCCUGUGGCAAGGGGACUAGCAUGGGACUUUGGAGUUCUGAGUUGGACCAGCAUCUUUCAGAAUCUGUUGGAGAUGGCCAGUGUCAUGACAAGUAGUCUCCUGGGCAUGAUGUGCACACAUCACAACGACAGCCACUCUCUCCUUCAUCCAUCAGCCGUCUUUGCAUGGCUCUCCCCGGGAAACAGGAUGUGCUUUAAGAGCAGCCUCUAAGAAGGUGGCAGUCAGGGUUGGGUCAGCAGCACCAUUUCCAUGUAAGCCGGGUGCAGAGAACGUCAGCUAUUUGACUAGAUGCUUCCAGCCAGGGGCCUCUGUUUGCCAGGACAGGUUGCUGUGAAGGACACGGCUCACAAGAGUUGUUCACACGUGCAUACACUUGGCAUCUCCUUUGAAGUCAUCCACCGUUUCACCUUUUCUGGCUGCCAUUAUUUUCCCCUCCCUUCAGAUGAGCUGGGAGCUCUAGCGAACAGCAUUCUUGCCCUGUUCCAUAAUGGUUUUGAGCGGGGAGUUGUAUGAUGUGGCUAUGAACUGCAUUUUUCUUCCUGCUCCACAGUGGAGUGAAUGACCUGAUUGGUGACAGACUGCAGCAAAGAUGUUGCUUCUGGGACAGCGGCUAUGAUGCCCCCGUAACCUCACCGUGAACAGGAAGCCAGUCUUCCACAGUUCCCAGUGACCCUCGUCUUUCUGGCUUACAUGGGACAGUGAGUGGAGUUGUGGGUCUGGGAUCAUUCCGAGGGGUGAGCGCCCGCUCUGAGGGGAUGGCAGCACACAGUACUUCACUUCUUGCUCUAAAUGCAGCAGAAAGCACAAGCCCAAGCUCCUCUAGCCAGCAGGAGCUGGGAGCACAAUGAUCUGCGCCUGCAGCUGCUGGAUGUGAAGAACAACCCCUACCUGAUCAAGGCUCUCUACGGGCUGCUGAUGCUUCUGCCUCAGAGCAGUGCCUUCCAGCUCCUCUCCCACCGUCUGCAGUGUGUGCCCAACCCCGAGC